UAUUGCUUGUAGGACUGAAAUUAAUAAAGGAAGCUUUUCAAUCCAAUAGUGGUGGUUUCCUGCAUAAAAACAGUGCUUGAUGUUCUUAAUCCAAACUCAAGCAUGCGGUUGAUUUAGCCAAGUGCAGGCCAACUCAAGUGGUAUGUGAUGUUGGUGUUCACAUUUAUAGAAUAUAAUUAUUUUGCAUGCGUACACUCAAAUUUGGCAUGUUAACUGGACUCUAUUUUUUUUGUUGUUAUGCCAUUUCCUUUUUGGUGUGAUGGUUCCAUGUCUUGUCAUAAUUCUUGGGUCCUUCAGCUGUACCAGGCUAGUAUAGCUCUCUUCCCCUGUUAUUUUAUAUUGGGGGUGUAGGUGGUGUGAUGAUCCUGUGGGUGCUCAGCUGAUGCAUUAGCAGAUUUUUAUGUUGUCUGCAGUGUCUCCAAUGAAGAUGUCUUUGGCAUUGCAGAAUGUCAGAAAUGUUCUUAAGCCAAGUGGUACCUUACUUUUCAGAGACUAUGCCAUGGGGGAUUAUGCUCAAAUAUCUUGUUUCUUCAGUAUUUCCAUUUACUGGUUUUGUGCCUAUCGGAUAUUUGUCUUCCCACAAGGCGCAAGGAUAUUUAUGUCUCUUUUAUUAUGUUAUCGUAAUUGCUGAUCAAAAUUAACAGGAGAAACUUGCCAAGAAAUGUCAGAUAAUUAGCAAUAACUUCUAUGUCCGUGGUGAUGGCACUGUGGGUGGUUUUUUUCUACCUGGUGGUUCAUUUCUUAAUAAAAUUCUCUAUUUUUGAUUGCAACCUCAUCUAAAGCUUCAGUAUGGGUGAUUAGAGUGCGCUUUCUACUUCUUCCAAGGUUCAUUUAUCAACCUUGUUUGAAAGAAAUGGCUUUGACACUGU
Molecule: non-coding RNA, 869 nt
Organism: Phoenix dactylifera (date palm)
Lineage: Eukaryota; Viridiplantae; Streptophyta; Magnoliopsida; Arecales; Arecaceae
Source: RefSeq, a predicted model, not a curated record